GACGAACGCUGGCGGCGUGCUUAACACAUGCAAGUCGAGCGAUGAAGUCUCUUCGGAGAUGGAUUAGCGGCGGACGGGUGAGUAACACGUGGGUAACCUGCCUCAUAGAGGGGAAUAGCCUUUCGAGAGGAAGAUUAAUGCCCCAUAAGAUUGUAGUACCGCAUGGUAUAGCAAUUAAAGGAGGAAUCCGCUAUGAGAUGGACCCGCGUCGCAUUAGCUAGUUGGUGAGGUAACGGCUCACCAAGGCGACGAUGCGUAGCCGACCUGAGAGGGUGAUCGGCCACAUUGGGACUGAGACACGGCCCAGACUCCUACGGGAGGCAGCAGUGGGGAAUAUUGCACAAUGGGGGAAACCCUGAUGCAGCAACGCCGCGUGAGUGAUGACGGUCUUCGGAUUGUAAAGCUCUGUCUUCAGGGACGAUAAUGACGGUACCUGAGGAGGAAGCCACGGCUAACUACGUGCCAGCAGCCGCGGUAA
Molecule: ribosomal RNA, 478 nt
Filed under: uncultured bacterium
Lineage: Bacteria
Description: partial 16S ribosomal RNA
Rfam family: Bacterial small subunit ribosomal RNA
Source: RNAcentral